GCUGGCGUAGCUUAAUUAAAGC
RNAcentral lists this transfer RNA (22 nucleotides) under Salvelinus malma malma. RNAcentral describes it as "partial tRNA-Phe". Lineage: Eukaryota; Metazoa; Chordata; Actinopteri; Salmoniformes; Salmonidae. The record is from RNAcentral.